GCCUGGGUGGCUCAGUUGGUUGGGCGUCUGACUUCGGCUCAGGUCAUGAUCUCAUAGUUUGUGGGUUCGAGCCCCGCGUUGGGCU
This 85-nucleotide transfer RNA is filed under the name Felis catus (domestic cat). It matches the Rfam family "tRNA". From Rfam's summary of the family: Transfer RNA (tRNA) molecules are approximately 80 nucleotides in length. Their secondary structure includes four short double-helical elements and three loops (D, anti-codon, and T loops). The record is from Rfam by way of RNAcentral. Lineage: Eukaryota; Metazoa; Chordata; Mammalia; Carnivora; Felidae.